This is a long non-coding RNA of Haliotis rubra (blacklip abalone), 120 nucleotides long. RefSeq lists it as uncharacterized. The record is from RefSeq and is a predicted model, not a curated record. Lineage: Eukaryota; Metazoa; Mollusca; Gastropoda; Lepetellida; Haliotidae. The transcript is spliced from 3 exons.
UAUUCCCCCGCCACGAAGUGAGGGGGAUACAGGUUUGAGCUCCUCUGUCCGUCCGAGAUGAUGGGGACAGAUUUUCUCAGAAACUGUUAUAGACAGGGAAACCAAACGUAUGUAUAUUCA